CUCGGGGAACGUCACCAGCUUGCCUUGGAAGGCCUUCUCGCUGCAUUUCAUCUCCCUCUUCCUCACUCCCAAACCACAGCUCACGGAACACUGGGGGCCAAGAAAGGAGGCGUCAGGGCGCAGACUCCACCCUCCACAUGUCAUCAGAGGGAUGGGACUAGGGCAGAUCAGCCACAGCCCACCAGGCUCCUGAAGGCAGGGCCUCAAGUCCGGCCUGCGACAGAAGCCAGAGAAUUGGAGUCACUUUCCCAAGGUCACAGCAUGGCUCAGCACCACAAAACAAAGGCCAGCCCUGCCAUCACACACCAAAGCUGCCUUAAGGCAGGAAAAACAAAAAGAGGAUGGAGGCUGAUGAAAGAAGUCUGAGGAAACCGCUUUUGUUUUUUUUAUGUGACUGACUGCUAUUUUAUUUAAAUAUUUCCUUACUUCCACUGUACAGAUUUUCUUUUUCAAAAACUUUAAAUUUUGUAUUGGGGCACAGCUGAUCAACAACGCUGCGACAGUUUCAGGUGAAGAGCAAAGGAACUCAGCCGUAUAAAUGCAUGUGUCCACAUGUGCACGGGUGCCCCACCCCGCUCCCACCCAGGCUGCCGUGACCUGGGCAGAGUCCCCUGUGCUCGGCAGGAGGCCCUUGUUGCUCAUCCAUUCUCGAUGCAGCGGCAGGUACACGUCAGUCCCGAACCCCUCAACCAUCACUUCUCCCUCGGCAACCGCAGGCUGGCUCCACUGUCUAUUUCAUAAGUUCAUUUGUCUUUAGAUUCCACACAGAAGGCAUGUCACAGGAUAUUUCUCUUCUCUGACUUACUUCACUCAGCAAGACAGUCUUUAGGUUCAUCCAUGUGACUGCACAUGGCAUUAGAGAAAACCAUUUUUAAGUAUUUUAAACAGUAUUCUGGGACACUGUACAGGGCCUUGAUGAACUGCAUAAAGCAGUAAGAAAUGGCAUCAGCAUAACCAUCACAGAUCAUGAAGGCGAGGGAUCAGAUCAAGACGGCAGAGAGGCAGGAUGUGGGGCUCCCCUUCUGCCCCGAAGACAUCAAAACCAGUUAUGUGGAGAACGAGUCUCACAGAACGUCUAGCCAACGCUGGCAGAAGACCUCAGAGCUCCCAAAAUGGGCAGCAAAGUCCUAGGAUCCUCUACCCCGCGAGGCUACCAUUUCAAAUGGAAGGAGAUAAAGAAUUUCUCAGACAAGCAAAAGCUAAAAGAAUACAGCAACACUAACUCUAUCAUACAGGAAAUUCUGAAAGGUCUUCUCUAAAUAGCAAAGUAGCAAGAAGAUACAGGAAGGAGGACAUCACAAAUGGAAAGUAAAUCCACCUAAAUCAGCCAGUAUACAGAUCAAAGAGAGAAAACCAUGUGUGAGGGCAGUGACACACACAAUGAGCAACAAAGGAUGCACAAGGCAAUGGAAAAAAGGGACAUCAAAAUCAUAAAAUGUGGGGAAGGAGAGGAAGAAGACGAUUUUUCUUUUUUUUUGGAAUGUGUUUGAGCCUAUAUGACUACCUGUCCAAAGCAAGCAGAUAUAGGAAGGGGCUAACAUACUUGAAAAACAGGGCAACCACAAAUCAAACCACAGUAUAAUUCACAGAAACCAAAAAGAACACAAGCAUAAACGGAAAGGAAAUCAUUAAACCACCAGAA
Non-coding RNA from Odocoileus virginianus texanus, 1642 nucleotides. NCBI's taxonomy places the organism in Eukaryota, Metazoa, Chordata, Mammalia, Artiodactyla, Cervidae. The record is from RefSeq and is a predicted model, not a curated record.